UAGGGAAUCUUCGGCAAUGGACGAAAGUCUGACCGAGCAACGCCGCGUGAGUGAAGAAGGUUUUCGGAUCGUAAAACUCUGUUGUUAGAGAAGAACAAGGACGUUAGUAACUGAACGUCCCCUGACGGUAUCUAACCAGAAAGCCACGGCUAACUACGUGCCAGCAGCCGCGGUAAUACGUAGGUGGCAAGCGUUGUCCGGAUUUAUUGGGCGUAAAGCGAGCGCAGGCGGUUUCUUAAGUCUGAUGUGAAAGCCCCCGGCUCAACCGGGGAGGGUCAUUGGAAACUGGGAGACUUGAGUGCAGAAGAGGAGAGUGGAAUUCCAUGUGUAGCGGUGAAAUGCGUAGAUAUAUGGAGGAACACCAGUGGCGAAGGCGGCUCUCUGGUCUGUAACUGACGCCGAGGCUCGAAAGCGUGGGGAGCAAACAGG
This 429-nucleotide ribosomal RNA is filed under the name Gemmatimonadota bacterium. Its description in RNAcentral is "Gemmatimonadetes bacterium partial 16S ribosomal RNA". It matches the Rfam family "Bacterial small subunit ribosomal RNA", at positions 355 to 776 of the family's 1533-position model. Lineage: Bacteria; Pseudomonadati; Gemmatimonadota. The record is from RNAcentral.